This 91-nucleotide small RNA is filed under the name Salmonella enterica. Its description in RNAcentral is "partial RtT sRNA". It matches the Rfam family "RtT RNA", at positions 1 to 90 of the family's 130-position model. Rfam says of the family: This family represents a bacterial cis-regulatory element known as RtT RNA. The exact function of RtT is unknown although it is thought that it may be involved in changing the cellular response in relation to amino acid starvation. Lineage: Bacteria; Pseudomonadati; Pseudomonadota; Gammaproteobacteria; Enterobacterales; Enterobacteriaceae. The record is from RNAcentral. RNAcentral also lists the same sequence under 3 other names.
AUAUCUCUCUGUACGGGAAGGAUGAGAAGCUUCGACCAAGGUUCGAUUCGAGCGCAGCGAGAAAGCGUUGCCGCAGGCAACGACCCGAAGG